GACGAACGCUGGCGGCGUGCCUAAUACAUGCAAGUAGAACGCACAGUUUAUACCGUAGCUUGCUACACCAUAGACUGUGAGUUGCGAACGGGUGAGUAACGCGUAGGUAACCUGCCUGGUAGCGGGGGAUAACUAUUGGAAACGAUAGCUAAUACCGCAUAAUAUUAAUUAUUGCAUGAUAAUUAAUUGAAAGGUGCAAUUGCACCACUACCAGAUGGACCUGCGUUGUAUUAGCUAGUAGGUGAGGUAACGGCUCACCUAGGCGACGAUACAUAGCCGACCUGAGAGGGUGAUCGGCCACACUGGGACUGAGACACGGCCCAGACUCCUACGGGAGGCAGCAAGAGGGAAUCUUCGGCAAUGGACGAAAGUCUGACCGAGCAACGCCGCGUGAGGGAAGAAGGUUUUCGGAUCGUAAAGCUCUGUUGUAAGGGAAGAAAGGGUGUGAGAGUGGAAAGUUCACACUGUGACGGUAUCUUACCAGAAAGGGACGGCUAACUACGUG
This 505-nucleotide ribosomal RNA is filed under the name uncultured bacterium. Its description in RNAcentral is "partial 16S ribosomal RNA". It matches the Rfam family "Bacterial small subunit ribosomal RNA", at positions 28 to 507 of the family's 1533-position model. The record is from RNAcentral.